GCCCUGUCCUGGCCCCUUGGGGUUGACCUCUCUGACUCAGUCCACUGCUGUGUAACUAAGACUGGGGUGGCAAGGUUUCUCCAGUAAUGGCACACGAUACAAGUGUCAUCUCCUAGCUCUCUGCUUUCUGCUCCUUGGUGGUGCUUUUCAAGGUGAAGUUCCACAAACUCUGUAGCAUACAGAACACAAUUUGUUGUAAUGUCCUGUAAGCAUGAUGCCAUCUGGUCAAAAGUUAGCUGUUAUGUCACCAUGAAAAUAAAAUGGAUUCCUUAGAGCCAAAUUAAGUGGUACUCUUGAGGCAUUAUAAAUAGAGACAGCACAAUCUUCUAUUUGAAAUACAUAAUGCAUAGGGCUGUCAUCAUGGCCCCUUCUUGGGUUUAUUUGUGUUGUGCGCUUGUUUGUGGUUGUUUCUCCCAUGCUAGAACCAUGCUUGGCAUUAGGUUUCCCUGGUUAUCUCUCGUUUCAGAACUGUUCCACAGACAAGUGCUUUGAUGGCCCUGUCCGUGGCCUUGCAGAUGAGAACUCAUGUUCACAUUUGGCCCAGGACACAGUGAUAACUGCUUUGUCUCCUUCUGACUUUCAUAAACUGGAUGAAUGCUUUAGAUGGACACUGCAGUGGGGUCCACCUCUGCUUCUCUGCCUGGUUAGGAGGAAAUGGAAAGGAAAUGCAAAACAGGAAGCUGAUCGUAUUGCCU
RNAcentral lists this long non-coding RNA (695 nucleotides) under Dasypus novemcinctus (nine-banded armadillo). Its description in RNAcentral is "lncRNA (ENSDNOG00000050587.1)". The record is from RNAcentral. Lineage: Eukaryota; Metazoa; Chordata; Mammalia; Cingulata; Dasypodidae.